This 1510-nucleotide long non-coding RNA is filed under the name Homo sapiens (human). Its description in RNAcentral is "HSALNT0084863". The record is from RNAcentral. Lineage: Eukaryota; Metazoa; Chordata; Mammalia; Primates; Hominidae.
AUUCUCCUUAGAAGGAAUCUUUUAGGUAACUCCCAUAGACAUCAGUAAAACCUCAUCUAAACCCUAAACAGAAAACGCAAUAGAAAAUACAAUUUCAUAUGUAAAGGUGAUAUGUCACUGCUAUCAAUCAGUAACUUCUCCAUAGUUCUUAUACCUGCAUGAUAUCUAUCACUGAAAUUUACUGUUUGUGCUUCCAUCAGGAUUUGGUUAGAUAAGUCUCAUAUUUCAAUAUGCCCUGAAAUAAAAAUGUUAUCAGCUUUGAUUUUUGUUAUUAGAACAUUAUAAGCUAGCUGUGUGUUGCAAUAACCAGCUACAUAUUCCAGAAGUCCAUUUGACCCUUCUGUUACUGGGACUGAUAUUCUUUUUUGUUUGUUUGUUUGUUUUGUUUGUUUUGUUUUUGAGACAGAGUUUUACUCUUGUUGCCCAGGCUGGAGCGCAAUGGUGCGAUCUCGGCUCACCGCAAUCUCUGCCUCCUGAGUUCAAGCGAGGAGCAACCCUACCUGAUGGACUGGACUUCUGCCUGGAUUGGAGUUUGAUCAUGCCUCCAUAUGGGUGUUUACCAGGCGUAUGCAUUGAACCUGAGUUUGUCUCUUCAAUACAAGGAAAAUCUCUGCCGCUUAGUGAUUUUCCAAGAAACAUGAGCUUCUGCCUUUCAAUGAGGAAGAUACUCAGAAGUCAUGUUCGAGCACUCCGGAAAAUGUCCUUGGAGUUUCAACAUUUCUUUGGUCUUCCACAUUUCAUUUUGUCCUGAUUAAAGAGGAAGCCAGUUGCUGUUUGUGCAAGAUGCCGUGCUGGAACCUGCCCUGUGGAGAGGCAUACAUGGUGAAAAACCAGGGAAGGCCUCUGAGCAACAGCUCUUGAGAAACUAAAGCCCUAAACCCAUCAACUUGCAAAGAACUGCAUCCUGCCACCAACUGCGUGAGUGAGGUCAGGUGGAUCUUUCCCUGGUCCAGCCUUGAGAUGACUGCAGUCCCAGACAACACCUUGACUGCUGCCUUGUGAUGCAGCUGGCGCCAAGCAGUGCCAAUUCCUGGCCCUCAAAAACCAUGAGAUAAUAGUGCUGUUGUUGUAAGUCACCCAAGUUUGGGGUAAUUUGUUAUCUAGCAGUAGAUAGCCAAUACAUCAAACUAGAAACAUUCUCCAUCAUUGAUUGGAAGACUUUGGGUUUUUAAAAAGGGUAAACACACAUAUACACAGCUUAUUAUAUUUCCUUCCACAUUUAUUUUGGAGGGGAAAUGUUUUACUUCUUAUCCCACCGCUUUGCCCUUUCUAAAAGAAUGUGUUAGGAUUACUGUGAUUCAAAUGGUAAAAAUUUUCCCAGUGAAAUAAAGACUUUAUACCAACUGGAUUUCUUGCUUAGAAAGCUGUGUUUUCUCCACUAAUAUCUUGAAUUUGAUAUUUUCAACUAUCUCUAUUGAAUUCACUUGUAAAUGAAUUGCGUUUUUCCCUCUAUUAUGAACUGAAUGUUUGUAUCUCUUCAAAAUUCAUAUGUUGAGGCUGUAAUUCCCAG